CGGUGUGAAUAAAAAAAUAUUUGAAAGUUUUGUCGAAUAACUUACUCAUAAACGAAGAGAUUAUAUUUAUUUUUUUAUUUUGGAAUAUUCUGCAACGCUAAUAACGAUAGGUUUAGCUAUCUUUAAUCCUUUAUUAGGGUCGUUUAACAAAAGAUAAAGAAUUAGUUACACUAAUGUUAAGAGAAUUCAAACAAUUGUUCUUAGGAUUGUUAAAUGUGUGUAUGAAAAAAAAAAUUUUUAAUGAUUUCUCUCAACUAAAACUUUACCUGGUGUCAGUUUAUAUUGUUACUAAAAAUUAACACAACUGAAGCUACCGUUACUCCAAUCUCAAUAUUUUUGCCAUUUCAUUUCGCUUAUUGCACAUAUUGAAAAUAUUCAAAAUGAAAGAACAAAAUAUGGGAACACAAAACAGUAACCGGCGGCCGUUUUGCUAUGAAACGACCUCUUUCAGACACCAGCAGACAAUUCGUAAAAAAAAACAAUACUAUAAAAAUAAUUUUAGAAAAGAAGUACAAGGAUAACAUAAUUUAACAUUGCAAGUUCAUUUAAAUGUGAAAAAAUAACAUAAUGCGUUUAUUGUUACCGUAUCAAAUUACAACCCUAAAGAAACUAAUGACAAUCUAGUUGAUUCAACUGUUACCUGCCCAAACAAAAGAUCUA
This 660-nucleotide unclassified non-coding RNA is filed under the name Melitaea cinxia (Glanville fritillary). RNAcentral's name for it is "misc RNA ENSMCXG00005020699.1". The record is from RNAcentral. Lineage: Eukaryota; Metazoa; Arthropoda; Insecta; Lepidoptera; Nymphalidae.